This 253-nucleotide ribosomal RNA is filed under the name uncultured bacterium. RNAcentral describes it as "partial 16S ribosomal RNA". It matches the Rfam family "Bacterial small subunit ribosomal RNA", at positions 524 to 776 of the family's 1533-position model. The record is from RNAcentral.
UACGUAGGGGGCAAGCGUUGUCCGGAUUUAUUGGGCGUAAAGAGCGUGUAGGCGGCCAAGCAGGUCCGCUGUGAAAACUCGAGGCUCAACCUCGAGAGGUCGGUGGAAACCGUUUGGCUAGAGUCCGGAAGAGGAGAGUGGAAUUCCCGGCGUAGCGGUGAAAUGCGCAGAUAUCGGGAAGAACACCCGUGGCGAAGGCGGCUCUCUGGGACGGUACUGACGCUGAGACGCGAAAGCGUGGGGAGCGAACAGG